GGAUCAUUUACACAUGCCUAGUGCAUAAUCCAACCUUAACCUAGAUUGUGUUCCUCAUUUGCAGUAACUGUGAAUGGGGUUUAUUUUACUUGCUUUGAUGUUUAAUUCAUUAUGCAAGCUAAAAUAAAAGAAAAUUUUCAACGAUGGAUAUCUGGGUUCCCAUACCGAUGAAGAACGCAGCGAACUGCGAUAAGCAAUGCGAAUAGCAGAAUUCCGCGAGACAUCAGAUUUUCGAACGCAUCUGGCGCUAAUUUAUUAGCAUGUUUGUUUCAGUGUGUUAGGAGAGCACAACUCAUCAUAUCAGAUGAAUGCGAUUGAAACUUUUGUUUCUCUCGUGAAAUACGAAGUGUGGAGUCUAGAAAUAGCCUCCAAAACGAAGUAGUCACAUUUGAUGUAUCUCGUUUUGGGAUCAAGGCUUUUCUAUAACAGAUUCUCACUAUCAUUAUUUCUCCUUUGUCAACACCUGAAAUCAAGCAAGAUAACCCGCUGAACUUAA
Molecule: ribosomal RNA, 496 nt
Rfam family: 5.8S ribosomal RNA (bases 133-278)